GGCCUGGGGAGGGGUCCUGGGAGGGAGGGAGGGAGGCUGAACUGCUCCCUCCUGCUCUUCGGCUUCACCUUCUGACCCUCUAGUCUUUCCUGUUGGUGCUCCGGGUGUCUGUUUACCUGCUCACGCUCCGCAUUGCAGCCCGUGGCCACAUCCUUCAUGCUGCCGGGCACACUCUCCCACGCCACGUGCCCUCUGCGGGCACAUGUGGACGUGGACACACUCCUUCAGUGACAUGCACACACAUCUGUCUACACGCCCGUCUCCGUGUGCACAUGUACAGCUUCAGUGCUGCCUGAAGGGGGUCUCCUCCGUGACCUUGCCUCUCUUCCUGGAGGGGCACAUAGUACCGGUCCUCCUCCACUCACCCCCUGGUGUGCCCACCCCAUGGCUGAUAAGACGGGAAUGGUGGUACCAGCCUCUGGGUACCAGCCGGACUUCCUGGGGGGGCAAAGCCCCUCUGCCUGAAGCAAUAACAACAACAGCCGACCCUGACUUCUUCCCAGCGCUGUCUCUGUUCUCACUGGAGGUUCCUUCUCUCACCCUGAAUCUGGUUCACUCACAGGAGACCACCCAGGUGGCAUUUCAAACUUUGGGGGAAGAUGGAUUGAGGACUUCACCCAGAAUCUCUCAAAUCUGCCUGCCCAGGGACGUGGGAGAAGUCAACUCCUGCAGCCCACCCUUCAGGGUGAGUUGGGAUGGGGUGAUGAGUCCCUCAGAUUCCCUCUCCUCCGAGUCCUCUCCGCUUUCCGUCUAG
This 754-nucleotide long non-coding RNA is filed under the name Ovis aries (sheep). RNAcentral's name for it is "lncRNA (ENSOARG00000025761.1)". Lineage: Eukaryota; Metazoa; Chordata; Mammalia; Artiodactyla; Bovidae. The record is from RNAcentral.